Molecule: ribosomal RNA, 498 nt
Filed under: uncultured bacterium
Lineage: Bacteria
Description: partial 16S ribosomal RNA
Rfam family: Bacterial small subunit ribosomal RNA
Source: RNAcentral
AUUGAACGCUGGCGGCAUGCCUUACACAUGCAAGUCGAACGGUAACAGGUCUUCGGAUGCUGACGAGUGGCGAACGGGUGAGUAAUACAUCGGAACGUGCCUAGUAGUGGGGGAUAACUACUCGAAAGAGUGGCUAAUACCGCAUGAGAUCUACGGAUGAAAGCAGGGGAUCGCAAGACCUUGUGCUACUAGAGCGGCCGAUGGCAGAUUAGGUAGUUGGUGGGAUAAAAGCUUACCAAGCCGACGAUCUGUAGCUGGUCUGAGAGGACGAUCAGCCACACUGGGACUGAGACACGGCCCAGACUCCUACGGGAGGCAGCAGCGGGGAAUUUUGGACAAUGGGCGAAAGCCUGAUUCAGCAAUGCCGCGUGCAGGAUGAAGGCCUUCGGGUUGUAAACUGCUUUUGUACGGAACGAAAAGCCCCGGGUUAAUACCCUGGGGUCAUGACGGUACCGUAAGAAUAAGCACCUGCUAACUACGUGCCAGCCGCCGCAGUAA